RNAcentral lists this long non-coding RNA (1887 nucleotides) under Canis lupus familiaris (dog). Its description in RNAcentral is "lncRNA (ENSCAFG00040014567.1)". Lineage: Eukaryota; Metazoa; Chordata; Mammalia; Carnivora; Canidae. The record is from RNAcentral.
CCUUUAUCAGUGACUGUCCCUGUCCACCGCUUCCUGGGGGGAGUCUGGUGGCAGGUGCUCCAAACUUUCCAGUCUACCCACUGCAGGCAGUGGUGGGGUCCCCACGGAGAGCUGGGUUUUCCUUUCUGGGAGUUCCCCUCUGGCCAGAAGCCUUGGCCUCCAGUCCUUCCAGCAUUUUUCGGGCAUGUUCAUUGGGUUUGCACUUCCCUGCGCUGCCCUCGUGCACUGGCUUCUCCUUCACCUUCCUUAUGGUUUGUCCUCGCAGCUCGCCCUUCGCUCCCCAGCUCGCCAGCCCCCCAACCCGAGGCCCCCGGGGGCGCUCGGCUAUCCGGAGGAACCAGAACCCGGGUCGGGAUCCGCGCUGUUAGCAGGGAUGGGAGAGGUCGGGGGAGGGAGGCUGGGAUCUGGGGAGGAGACACGCGGCUGGCGCUGGGGAGAGCACCACCCGGGGCCACCGGGGAGCGACCUGCCGGGGGCGCACGGCGCCAAGCGCUGCCCUCGGGCGGGGCGCGCCCCGUUCGCGCGUGGGGUCAGUCACACGCAGCACGCCGCCCGCCGCCCGCGGGUCGAGAACCUUCCAGCUGGAACUUCCCAGAUUCCCGGCACCCUGUCUUCUCCCGCUUUCGGGUGAGGCUCGGGGGGAGUUGGCCCCGGAGUUCCGCACCCGCAUUCUCGGGGCGAAGAAGUCGGAGGGCGCGCGCUGGGCGCGCUGCGGGUGUCGGAGGAAGCUUUGGGGGUGCGGGAGGAUGCGCCGGCGGACGGGAGGAGCUCGGCGGGGACGCGGGGGCCCCCGGGCUGGGGUGCGGGCAGGGAAGCCCCGCGAAGCCCUGGGCGAGGCCGCCUGGAUGCAGGGCCGGGGCUGCCCCUUCCCGCAGGUCAACCCCGGCCCGUCUGCACGGUGCGCGCGGUCCCCGCGGGGUUCCCGAGCGCGGGGGGGGGGUCCCCGGUCCCCCGGGAGGGUCCUCCCCUGCUCGCGCCGGAGGACGACAGUCGGACAUUUUCCUCGGCCUCGCUCGCGGCAGCCGGGGUGGCCGCCGGGCAGGGCUGCGUGAGGGGCCCGGGGCUCGGGCGGAGCCAGAGGACACUUCCCCCCGGCCCGGGCUGCCCGGCCGGUCCGCCCGCAGGAGCCCCGGGAGCCGCGCGCGCGCCCCGGAGGUCGCCGUGCGGGGGGACCCGCUCCCACCCCCCGCGAGCCCGAGGGGGCGGGGCGGGGGCGGGGCGCGCGGGGGGCGGGGCGCGGGCGGGGCGCGGGGGCGGGGCGCGGGCGGCCGGGAGCGCGGAGCCGCCCCGCGGGAGGGCCUGCGAGCCGCGCCCGGGAGCAGAGGGCGAGCGGCGGACCCGGCCGGGCCCGCGCGCCGGGAGGAAGGCGCCCCGCCGCCGCCGCCGCCGCCGCUCCGCGUGCUCAGCCCGUCCCCGCCCCGGGAGCCCGCGCCCCCUAGCUCCGCCCGCCGCUCCGCCGCCCGCAGGCUCCGGCUUCCGUCCCGGACUGCGCCCGCGGCCGCCAGGUGGGUGCCGGCGCCCUGGCCGCCGCGCGGGGUGGGCGGGUGGGGUGGGGGCGCGAGGGGCUCGCGAAGUUGGGCAGCUGCUGGCCCGGCCGGGUGCGCGCCCCCCCCUCCGCGUCCCCCCGUGUCCCUCCGCUUCUCCCCGCGUCCCUGCCUCCCCCCGGCUUCCCGGCGCGUCCCCCGCGUCCCGGCGCCCGAGGCGGCUGUGGAUCCCCCGGCUGGAGCGCCGGCAGCCGCGCGCCUCGGCCCGGGAGGGUGGCGGGUCCCACCCGGGUCCCACCCGCCUCCCCCGCCCCCGCGGCCGCCUCGGGAGGGGACCCUCGCCCCCCGGCUACGUCUGUGCCAAGUUGGGGAAGUCGCGGCCCCGCGGGCCCCCGAGGACUAG